Bubalus bubalis (water buffalo) is the source of this 3250-nucleotide long non-coding RNA. RefSeq lists it as uncharacterized. The transcript is spliced from 3 exons. The record is from RefSeq and is a predicted model, not a curated record. Lineage: Eukaryota; Metazoa; Chordata; Mammalia; Artiodactyla; Bovidae.
GAGAGAGAGAGAGAGAGAGAAAAAAAGUUUCAAUUCUACUCACAGGUGUGAUUUAUCAAAUUGCUGUAAAUCACAAUUAACUUGAUGGGAAGGGGAAAACACAGAUCAAAAUCAGUAACACUCCAGACUAAAACCAUACAAAUUAUAACCAUAUGCACCAGUUCACUCGGUAAACAAUCCUUUUGUUAACUUUUUACGAAGGCAUCAGGUUUUCCAUUAGGAUUUUUAAAAUUUUUACCCAGUUCAGUGGCAUAAUCUGAAAUUUAUCAGAGACUCAUACUGGUCAAGGUCCUUCAUAUGAAUCUUCUUGAAGAUGAAGCACAUUUACAAAAGCAUCAGAAUUAAAUACCUGAUUACAACUUACUUAAUAAAGAAACUUAGUUAUAAUAACCAGAAUUAUGACUGGUUAUAAUCUUAUAACCCUUAAAAAUUUUAAUCUCAGGCAAAAACCAAGAAGUAAGUAAUUUAAACUGUCAUACCAGCACUUCCUGAUUGGAAAACUUAUGCUUUAGUCUAACUCUCCCAAGAAGAUAAGCCCCCACUUAUCAAGGACAGCCACCACAGGACCCCCAUACUAAUGGACAGCCACCCCGGGGUUACCCCAGCAACUUUUGGGAUCACCUCUGGAAUUUUUGGGCUUCCCUUGUGGCUCAGCUGGUAAAGAAUCCACCUGCAAUGUGGGAGACCUGGGUACAAUCCCUGGGUUGGGAAGAUCUCGUGGAGAAGGGAAAGGCUACCCACUCCAGUAUUCUGGAGUUUCUUCUGUCUCCUGGCUGGUUCACCAGCUGUAGGACUUCAACUGGAGGACUGCAAGUCCUAUGCUCAACCAACUUCAAGACUGAAGAAAGAACCCAGAUGGAGAUGUUGCUGCUUUAAUGAGUAGGGGGAGCUCGACAGUCUGAAGCAGGAUCUUGGAGCAAUACCCCAUUGUGUGUGUGGCAGACAGCAGGAAGGACACAGAAGGCAGGACACUACAGCAAUCUCAGCUCUGGGGGGGAAGGGGAGAUUGUCAAUUACAGGUGGUAUUGAUAUCAAGCUGGGUCAUCAGUUACCAGGGAAACCAUCAGAGGUGCUCACCCUUCAACACCCCUUUGACAAGAACAAUCAACAGCUGGGAUAAGUAGAUAGGUAGGCAUUUACUGAUUAGGAAGGUCAGUCAGGUGAGUAGGUAUAGGUGAAGCAGACUUUGGUCUGCCAGGGACGUGCAGAGAUCAAGAGAACAGCCACCUUGAGUGGCCUGACCAAACAGUAGGAAAAUACCCCUCAAUAAUUCAGUGAACAAACUCUACUGAUAUGCCAUAUUUAUGCAAUGACCUACUAUACACCAAUGCAAAUGAAUGAGCUACCACACAAGCAACAAUAUGGAUGAAUCUCACAGUUGAAUGAAAGAAGUCAGAUCCAAAAGCAAUAAAUACGGCAUAAUAACAAAUAUACAAAAGUAACCUAUGGUUUUAAAGUCCACUUGAGGGAAGAAGAGGGGGUUUGUGGCUAAGAAAGGGCACAGGCUGGCUUUUGCAAUGGACGCAGGAUUACAUUUGCUGAUCUGGGAGGUUGCUGUGUCACUCUGUGCUUAUUCAACUAUGUAGUUAUUAGCACAUUUUUCUCUAAGCAUGUUGUGCUUUGAUAAAAAUUUUUUUAAACCAAAGUCAGCUUUUAUAUCUCAUUUGGUGUUUUUGUUUGUUUUCCAGUGAAGAAGAUGAUCAUGACAGCCCACAAGAAACAACCAAUACAAUAUUGUAAAGUUAAAAAAUAAAAUAAAAUAAAUAAAUAUCACUAUACUGAAACGCUUUUUUAAAAAGCAAAUCUCUUUUGUUUUAUUAGAUGGUGAACUCUUGAAGGUCAGCAUUACCGCCUUACUCUCCUGUUAUUCAGCAUUGCCUAGAACAAUUUUCCGUAAGUUACAGCUUUUCAGUAAAUGUUUGUUACAUGAAUGUUUGCCUCUUGAGUUGGUGCUGUGAGAGGAAUUUUAUGCUCCACCUUUACAAAAGUACUUUUUGACUGACGUAAGUCUUCUGACUUUCUUGCAUAGCACCCAACUGAAUGGGCCUUGGUUUAAUCUCACUGAGGCUUUGGAUCUGGGGGGCUUUUCACUGUCAGACCCAACUUUUUAUGCUCGAUCAAGAUUCUGGCGGAACUUUCCAUCAUACUGAAAUUGUUUCAGCCGUGGCAGUGUAACUUUGCAACCUAAUUAAUACCACCGGAGAAGGCAAGGUAUAAUCAGAGCCAGGAAAAAGCAAUUGAAUCGAGCUAAACAUACUCAGCUUUUAUAUUAGCACCAAGUUUCAGGCUGGAUGUCUCCCUGGGGAUCACUAACAGAGGAAACAAGUGAGGAGCAUCAGCAAAACACUCUUGCUGGGUGUGUUUGAUGCCACCGCUAGUUUUAAUCAGCACAGCGUGUUCUGCUCCUAAUAUAAUUAUUGUACAAUCAUGUUGCAUCAGGUUGAGACAACUCGACUACUGAAUUGAAGGAGAUUCACAAGUGAAUGUGGGACAAGGUUUCUCUUUGCUGUGGUGAACAUGACAUGGAUCACCUAUGUUGCACAACUUUGAUUUUGUUUCUUCUCAGUAUUUUGAAACUUCUCUGAAAGGUCUUCACUGUUGUCUCCUGUAAGCAUGAUUUCUCUUUUUCUCUCUCUUUCCUUCCCUCCCUAUUUCCCUCUAACUCUCUCUCUCUCUUUUUAGGCUCUUAAAAAAUCACUGUGAUAUAUACCUGAUUAUUGAAUACUUUGGAGUUUACUUGUAAGGAUAGGUGUUUUUUGGCAGCUACUUCACUUUUUUGUCAAUGUACAUUUUAUUUUUUUGGAAUUUUUUUUAGACUACCCUGAAAUUAGGGAUAAAUUUUGGGUUUGGAAAAUGAAUAAAGGGCUAAAUUGCAACUUUUGUCUACUCUCUCCAUGGGUGUUUAAAUUGUUUUGGUAGCUAUCCCAUCAGAUUUGUCAUCAAAAUGCCAAAGAAAGGAUGUGAUUUACUUGUCUUGGUGAUUGCUGAAGGUUAUUAAUAUUCUAAAACUAAUUUCAAACUGUAUUUCACAGUCAUAUUAGUAAUAAACAAUAGAGUAGAACGCUUAAAGAUUUGGCCUUAGGCAGCUCAGGAUAUGAGUUUAGGCAUCACCAAUUCAUUUUCUCAUCCAUUCACUCAUCACUCAUAGUUACUAAAUGCCUUUCUUUAUUUGCCAGUCACUAGGCUAGGAGGUACUAUGAAUACAGGGUUGAACAAAACCAAAUAUGGCACAUUUUCUAGCCCUUUUAAA